This 838-nucleotide ribosomal RNA is filed under the name Ceramothyrium thailandicum. Its description in RNAcentral is "eukaryotic LSU rRNA". It matches the Rfam family "Eukaryotic large subunit ribosomal RNA", at positions 68 to 922 of the family's 3401-position model. The record is from RNAcentral. Lineage: Eukaryota; Fungi; Ascomycota; Eurotiomycetes; Chaetothyriales; Chaetothyriaceae.
ACAGGGAUUGCCUCAGUAACGGCGAGUGAAGCGGCAACAGCUCAAAUUUGAAAUCUGGCACUUUCAGUGUCCGAGUUGUAAUUUGUAGAGGAUGUUUCGGCCACGACCCCGGGUUAAAUUUCUUGGAACAGAAUGUCAGAGAGGGUGAGAACCCCGUCUUGACUCGGGCGUACGGGCCGUGUGAAACUCCUUCGACGAGUCGAGUUGUUUGGGAAUGCAGCUCAAAAUGGGUGGUAAAUUUCAUCUAAAGCUAAAUAUUGGCCAGAGACCGAUAGCGCACAAGUAGAGUGAUCGAAAGAUGAAAAGCACUUUGAAAAGAGAGUUAAACAGUAUGUGAAAUUGUUGAAAGGGAAGCGCUGGCAACCAGACUUGAGCGCGGCGGUUCCCCCGGGCUUCUGCCCGGGCUACUCCGUCGUGUCCAGGCCAACAUCGGUUUCGGGGGUCGGUCAAAGGCCCUGGGAAUGUAUCUACCCUUCGGGGUCGACUUAUAGCCCAGGGUGUCAUGCGACCUCCCGGGACCGAGGAACGCGCUUCGGCUCGGAUGUUGGCGUAAUGGUUGUCAGCGACCCGUCUUGAAACACGGACCAAGGAGUCUAACAUCUAUGCGAGUGUUAGGGUGUCAAACCCUCACGCGGAAUGAAAGUGAACGGAGGUAGGAAGCCGCAAGGCCGCACUAUCGACCGAUCCUGAAGUUUACGGAUGGAUUUGAGUAAGAGCAUAGCUGUUGGGACCCGAAAGAUGGUGAACUAUGCGUGAAUAGGGUGAAGCCAGAGGAAACUCUGGUGGAGGCUCGCAGCGGUUCUGACGUGCAAAUCGAUCGUCAAAUUUGCGUAUAGGG